UACGAGGGGUGCAAGCGUUGUUCGGAAUCACUGGGCGUAAAGGGAGCGUAGGCGGAGCUCCAAGUCGGUCGUUCAAUGCCGGGGCCUAACCCCGGACCUGCGGCCGAUACUGGAGCUCUUGAGUUAUCUAGAGGCAGGCGGAAUUCCAGGUGUAGCGGUGGAAUGCGUAGAGAUCUGGAAGAACACCAAUGGCGAAGGCAGCCUGCUGGGGAUUAACUGACGCUGAGGCUCGAAAGUGCGGGUAGCAAACAGG
Molecule: ribosomal RNA, 253 nt
Filed under: uncultured bacterium
Lineage: Bacteria
Description: partial 16S ribosomal RNA
Rfam family: Bacterial small subunit ribosomal RNA
Source: RNAcentral